RNAcentral lists this ribosomal RNA (1058 nucleotides) under Bacillus sp. MMD05. RNAcentral describes it as "bacterial SSU rRNA". It matches the Rfam family "Bacterial small subunit ribosomal RNA", at positions 187 to 1227 of the family's 1533-position model. The record is from RNAcentral. Lineage: Bacteria; Bacillati; Bacillota; Bacilli; Caryophanales; Bacillaceae.
AGCAAUGGAGAAAGGUUGAAAGGCGGCCUUUUGGCUGUCACUUACAGAUGGGCCCGCGGCGCAUUAGCUAGUUGGUGGGGUAACGGCCUACCAAGGCAACGAUGCGUAGCCGACCUGAGAGGGUGAUCGGCCACACUGGGACUGAGACACGGCCCAGACUCCUACGGGAGGCAGCAGUAGGGAAUCUUCCGCAAUGGACGAAAGUCUGACGGAGCAACGCCGCGUGAACGAUGAAGGUCUUCGGAUCGUAAAGUUCUGUUGUCAGGGAAGAACAAGUACCGUUUGAACAAGGCGGUACCUUGACGGUACCUGACGAGGAAGCCCCGGCUAACUACGUGCCAGCAGCCGCGGUAAUACGUAGGGGGCGAGCGUUGUCCGGAAUUAUUGGGCGUAAAGCGCGCGCAGGCGGUUUCCUUAAGUCUGAUGUGAAAGCCCACGGCUUAACCGUGGAGGGUCAUUGGAAACUGGGGAACUUGAGUACAGAAGAGGAGAGCGGAAUUCCACGUGUAGCGGUGAAAUGCGUAGAUAUGUGGAGGAACACCAGUGGCGAAGGCGGCUCUCUGGUCUGUAACUGACGCUGAGGCGCGAAAGCGUGGGGAGCGAACAGGAUUAGAUACCCUGGUAGUCCACGCCGUAAACGAUGAGUGCUAGGUGUUAGGGGGUUUCCGCCCCUUAGUGCUGAAGUUAACGCAUUAAGCACUCCGCCUGGGGAGUACGGCCGCAAGGCUGAAACUCAAAAGAAUUGACGGGGGCCCGCACAAGCGGUGGAGCAUGUGGUUUUAUUUGAAGCAACGCGAAGAACCUUACCAGGUCUUGACAUCCUCUGACCCCUCUAGAGAUAGAGGUUUCCCUUCGGGGACAGAGUGACAGGUGGUGCAUGGUUGUCGUCAGCUCGUGUCGUGAGAUGUUGGGUUAAGUCCCGCAACGAGCGCAACCCUUGACCUUAGUUGCCAGCAUUCAGUUGGGCACUCUAGGGUGACUGCCGGUGACAAACCGGAGGAAGGUGGGGAUGACGUCAAAUCAUCAUGCCCCUUAUGACCUGGGCUACACACGUGGAG